Molecule: ribosomal RNA, 492 nt
Filed under: uncultured bacterium
Lineage: Bacteria
Description: partial 16S ribosomal RNA
Rfam family: Bacterial small subunit ribosomal RNA
Source: RNAcentral
AGUGAACGCUGGCGGUAGGCCUAACACAUGCAAGUCGAACGGCAGCACAGUAAGAGCUUGCUCUUACGGGUGGCGAGUGGCGGACGGGUGAGGAAUACAUCGGAAUCUACUUUUUCGUGGGGGAUAACGUAGGGAAACUUACGCUAAUACCGCAUACGACCUACGGGUGAAAGCAGGGGAUCUUCGGACCUUGCGCGAUUGAAUGAGCCGAUGUCGGAUUAGCUAGUUGGCGGGGUAAAGGCCCACCAAGGCGACGAUCCGUAGCUGGUCUGAGAGGAUGAUCAGCCACACUGGAACUGAGACACGGUCCAGACGACUAAGGGAGGGAGCAGUGGGGAAUAUUGGACAAUGGGCGCAAACCUGAUCCAGCCAUACCGCGUGGGUGAAGAAGGCCUUCGGGUUGUAAAGCCCUUUUGUUGGGAAAGAAAAGCAGCAGGUUAAUACCCCGCUGUUCUGACGGUACCCAAAGAAUAAGCACCGGCUAACUUCGUG